GCAUCCCAUUUAGAGAAUUCGGGAAGGUUCCCUGCAAGCUUCUGUGGGACCACUAGCACCAGUGGGCACAUCGAGAGCAAACACAUCGGAGACAAAUUUUUCUUUCUUUGUGAACUCUGCCUUAACUCAAAGAUUCCUGUCAUGACUUAAAGAGAAACUUUCACAAUGUCUGGAGCCCUUGAUGUCCUGCAAAUGAAGGAGGAGGAUGUCCUUAAGCUCCUUGCAGUGGGAAUCCAAUUAGGUGGCACCAAAUUGACUUCCAAAUGGAACAGUACAUCUAUAAAAGGAAAGUGAUGGCAUCUACAGCAUAAAUCUGAAGAGGACCUGGGAGAAGCUUCUGCUGGCAGGUCAUGCCAUUGUUGUCAUUGAAAACUCUGCUGAUGUCAGUGUCAUAUCCUCCAGGAAUACUGGCCAGAAGGCUAUGCUGAAGUUUGCUGCUGCCACUGGAGCCACUCCAAUUGCUGGCCACUUCACUCCUGGAACCUUCCUAACCAGAUCCAGGCAGCCUACUGGGAGCCACGGCUUCUUGUGGUUUCUGACCCCAGGGCUGACCACCAGUCUCUCACAGAGGCAUCUUGUGUUAACCCACCUGCCAUUGCUUUAUGCAACACAGAUUCUCCUCUGUGCCAUUGGACAUUGCCAUCACAUGCAACAACAAGGGAGCUCCCUCAGUGGGUCAGAUGUGGUAGAUGCUGGCCUGGGAAGUUCUGCACAUGCGUGGCACCAUUUCCUGCAACACCCAUGGGAGGUAAUGUCUAAUCUCUACUUCUACAGAGAUCCUGAAGAGACUGAAAAAGAAGAGCAGGCUGCUGCUGAAAAGGCUGUGACCAAGAAGGAAUUUCAGGGUAAAUGGACUGUUUCAGCUCCUGAGUUCACUGUUACUCAGCCUGAAGUUGCAGACUGGUCUGAAGGCAUGCAGGUGCCCUCUGUGCCUAUUCAGCAGUUUCUACUGAAGACUGGAAGGCUCAGCCUGCCAUGGAAGACUGGUCCACAGCUCCACUGCUCAGGCCACUGAAUGGGUAGGAGCAACCACUGAAUGGUCUUAAGCUGUUCUUGCACGGACUCUUAAGCAACAUGAAAAUAAGGUUGACAGAAAAUAAACAUCAGUUUCUAAAAAAUAAAAAAUAAAAUUCUGUGAUGCAAA
Molecule: long non-coding RNA, 1144 nt
Organism: Homo sapiens (human)
Lineage: Eukaryota; Metazoa; Chordata; Mammalia; Primates; Hominidae
Gene: RPSAP52
Product: ribosomal protein SA pseudogene 52
Source: Ensembl